This 253-nucleotide ribosomal RNA is filed under the name uncultured bacterium. RNAcentral describes it as "partial 16S ribosomal RNA". It matches the Rfam family "Bacterial small subunit ribosomal RNA", at positions 524 to 776 of the family's 1533-position model. The record is from RNAcentral.
UACGUAGGGAGCAAGCGUUGUCCGGAAUCAUUGGGCGUAAAGCGCGCGUAGGCGGCCCGAUAAGUCCGCUGUAAAAGUCAACGGCUCAACUGUUGAAAGCCGGUGGAUACUGUCGGGCUAGAGUACGGAAGAGGCAAGUGGAAUUCCUGGUGUAGCGGUGGAAUGCGCAGACAUCAGGAGGAACACCCAUAGCGAAGGCAGCUUGCUGGGACGUUACUGACGCUAAGGCGCGAAAGCGUGGGGAGCGAACAGG